Molecule: ribosomal RNA, 492 nt
Filed under: uncultured bacterium
Lineage: Bacteria
Description: partial 16S ribosomal RNA
Rfam family: Bacterial small subunit ribosomal RNA
Source: RNAcentral
AGUGAACGCUGGCGGUAGGCCUAACACAUGCAAGUCGAACGGCAGCCCAGUAAGAGCUCGCUCUUACGGGUGGCGAGUGGCGGACGGGUGAGGAAUACAUCGGAAUCUACUUUUUCGUGGGGGAUAACGUAGGGAAACUUACGCUAAUACCGCAUACGACCUCCGGGUGAAAGCAGGGGAUCUUCGGACCUUGCGCGAUUGAAUGACCCGAUGUCGGAUUAGCUAGUUGGCGGGGUAAAGGCCCACCAAGGCGACGAUCCGUAGCGGGUCUGAGAGGAGGAUCAGCCACACUGGAACGGAGACACGGUCCAGACUCCUACGGGAGGCAGCAGUGGGGAAUAUUGGACAAUGGGCGCAAGCCUGAUCCAGCCAUACCGCGUGGGUGAAGAAGGCCUUCGGGUUGUAAAGCCCUUUUGUUGUGAAAGAAAAGCAGCAGGUUAAUACCCCGCUGUUCUGACGGUACCCAAUGAAUAAGCACCGGCUAACUUCGUG